Molecule: long non-coding RNA, 580 nt
Filed under: Mytilus galloprovincialis (Mediterranean mussel)
Lineage: Eukaryota; Metazoa; Mollusca; Bivalvia; Mytilida; Mytilidae
Source: RNAcentral
UAGUAAAUAAAACUGAAGUCAUUCCCGGAAUGUCCGAUCAUGAAAUUGUUUAUAUUGAAUCCAACUUAAAACCUAGAAGAGCAAAAAAACCACCUAGAAAAGUUUUCCUAUACAAAAAAGCAAAUACUGAACAAAUUAAAGAAAAGCUAAAUGACAUACAUCUUAACAAUAUUACAAACCUAGAAAAUCUUACAAUGGACGAACUUUGGGAUAAUUUCAAAACAAAGCUAUUAAAAACCAUGGAAGAGUCAAUCCCUACUAAAAUAUAAAUAACACCAAACAAAAACUACCAUGGAUUAAUAAAGAAAUAAAGUCACUGAUUAGAAAAAGGAACAAAUUGUUCAAAAAAAUGAAAACAGACUCGCAUAGUAAAAUAAAUAAACAGUACAGGGAAACAAAAAAACUGCUUCAGAAAGAGACAAGAAAAGCUUACUGGACAUAUCUGGAAAACAUCAUUUGUUACGACGAAAGCUUACAAACCUCGCAAAAACAGAAAAAAAUUUGGAAUUAUAUCAGGUCCACCAAAAAAGACAGUUCAGGAGUUGCACCAUUAAGAUCUGAAGGUAUGCUGAUAGACGAC